This 570-nucleotide small RNA is filed under the name Pan troglodytes (chimpanzee). RNAcentral's name for it is "retained intron". The record is from RNAcentral. Lineage: Eukaryota; Metazoa; Chordata; Mammalia; Primates; Hominidae.
CUCCUCUACCCCAAUCUUCUGCCCUCUCCUCUGCUUCCCCGGCCUCCCCCUUCUGACUCUCCUCUCCCCUCUUUGUAUCCCCCAUCUUGCCUCCCUGCUUCCCACAUCCGACCACCCGACCUCUCUCCUCAGACGUGGACGAAUGUCGCGAGCGAGGCCCAGCCCUGUGCGGGUCGCAGCGCUGUGAGAACUCUCCCGGCUCCUACCGCUGUGUCCGGGACUGCGAUCCUGGGUACCACGCGGGCCCCGAGGGCACCUGUGACGAUGUGGAUGAGUGCCAAGAAUAUGGUCCCGAGAUUUGUGGAGCCCAGCGUUGUGAGAACACCCCUGGCUCCUACCGCUGCACACCAGCCUGUGACCCUGGCUAUCAGCCCACGCCAGGGGGCGGAUGCCAGGGUGGGUGUCCAUCAGGCAUCGGAUGUGAACGAGUGUGAAACACUACAGGGUGUAUGUGGAGCUGCCCUGUGUGAAAAUGUCGAAGGCUCCUUCCUCUGUGUCUGCCCCAACAGCCCGGAGGAGUUUGACCCCAUGACUGGACGCUGUGUUCCCCCACGAACUUCUGCUGGCACG